CCCUUAGAUGUCCUGGGCCGCACGCGCGCUACACUGAGUGUCUGAGAUACGAGUCUGCCCGGUCCGGCAAGGUCUAGGUAAUCGCUAAAAGACACAUCAUGCUUGGGAUAGAUUAUUGCAAAUAUUAAUCUUGAACGAGGAAUUCCUAGUAAGCGCAAGCCAACAGCUUGCGUUGAUUACGUCCCUGCCCUUUGUACACACCGCCCGUCGCUACUACUGAUUGGAUGUUUAAGCGAGGUUCUCGAACUGCUAGCGACUUAGCUUCGGUGAGGUCGCAGUGUGGGAAGUGAACCGAGCUUUGGUGUCUAGAGGAAGUAAAAGUCGUAACA
RNAcentral lists this ribosomal RNA (329 nucleotides) under uncultured eukaryote. Its description in RNAcentral is "partial 18S ribosomal RNA". It matches the Rfam family "Eukaryotic small subunit ribosomal RNA", at positions 1470 to 1796 of the family's 1831-position model. The record is from RNAcentral.